GAGAUGAGGUCUCACUGGGUUGCCCAGGCUGGAGCAUGGUGGCUGUUCAUAGGCGUGAUCCUAGUGCACUACAGCUUAAAACUCCCAGGCUCAGAUGAUCCGUCUGCUUCAGUCUCUCAUGUAGCUGGGACUAUAGGCAUGUGCCACCACACCUAACUCUGGCCUCAUAUUUCAUUGAGAAAACAGAUGCAGGCAGAACCUAGGCAGGGAACCUCCAUCAGCCUCAGUCAUCACAUCCAUCUGCCUACCUGUAUGUGCGCCUGGUUCUUGUUAUGCACAAAUUGUCCCUGCUGCUGUUGAAGCUUGGACCCUAGAUCCCAUCUCCCUUCAGUUACUCAGCCUUCACUCCAGCAGUUCCUUUCUCUCUCUUGCUUCAUCAGAUUUUCCAUCUCAUAUGGCCUUUUUUUUUUUAACAGCCUAUAUAAUGCCAUUACUUUUCCCAUCAUGGGAAUGAACAAAAGGAACUCUCUUGAUCUAAUUCCCCCUGCCAGCUUCUCCCCCACAUCUCUGCACCAAAACCUUUGCAGCAGAACUUCCGGAAUGAGUUGCCUGUCCUCUCCAUCCCCUUCUGCCCUUGCACUCUUUGCUGAAUCAACUGCAGUCAGGCGAGGGUUCCCGUGGUUGCUCUGUGGUUGCUCUGAGUCACUGUCUGGUCUGACCCAUCAGCCUCAUUAGACAUGGCUUUCACCCACUUCUCCUGGAAACACGUUUUUCUUUUGGCUUCCAGAACAGCACAUUCUCCUGGUUUUCAUGCAUUCUCUGUAUCUGUUCCUUCUUCACUCUUUGCCUGGUUCCUUUUCAUUUCCCUGACUUCUAAAUGUUAGGAUUCAAGGGCUCAAUAUUUAACCUCUUGUCCUUUCCAUCCAGCUUUAUUCUCUUACUGUUGUCAUCCAGUGUCCUGGCUUUAAUUACCCUCAUUUGAUGAUUCCUAAGCUUUUAUCUCCAACGUGGACCUGCUCCUUGAACCUCAGAUUGACACAUCCAGCGCUUUACCUGACAUCUCUGCUUGGAUGUCUAACAGGCAUGUCACAGCUAGCAUGCCCCAAAUCAAGCUUUGCUGUUGCCUCACAUUUUAUCUUCUCCCAGGUUUCCAUCUCAAUAAAUGACAAUUCAUGUUUUCUAGACCUGGAUUGGCAAACUCUUUCUGUUAAGGGCCAGAUAGUAAAUAUUUUUGGCUUUGGAGGCUGUGAGGUUAGAACUGUUUAUCUCUGCUUCUGUAGCACAAAAGCAGCCAUAGAACAUAUGUAAAUGAGCAAGUGUAACUGUGUUCCAGUAAAACUUCACUUACAAAAACAGGCAGUAGCCCAGAUUUGGCCUGUGGACUAGAGCUUGCUUGGCCCUGCUCUAGACCUGUCAGAAAACUAGAAGCAGACCAGAUUCUCACCACCUGUUUCUUCUCAUCACCUCCACCGCUAUUACCCAGGUCCAAGGCACCAGCAUCUCUUGCCUGGAUUUCUGGAACAGCCUCCUAACUGGUCAUCUCAUGCCCACCCUUGCUUCACUUGAGUCUGUUCUCAGUGUAGAGCCAGAGGGGCCCCACUAAAGCAUAAGUGCAACACUGUGUAACAGCCCAUAUGCUGUUAUCACAAACUAACAGAAAGGCUUGGGCAUUCCCUAAACGGUUAGUUCUUGCCCGGGUACCUCUAUGCUAAGUAGUCCUGAUUAUGUUUCUCACAUAGUCAUCAUUAUUCAUAAUCACAAACAGUUGGAUAUUAUUAGCCAUACUUUGGUGGGUUGAAUAAACAGAUUUUCAUGAUUUCCUAAAUAAGUGAAAAAACAAACAGAAAAUCUCUCUUAAGACAGGUUACAUCUAUUCUCUGUUCAGGCCAGGUGCAGUGGCUCAUGCCUGUAAUCAUAAUACUUUGGGAAGCCAAGGUGGGAGGAUCCCUUGAGCUCCUGACCUCAUGAUCCUCCCGCCUCAGCCUCCCAAAGUGUUGGGAUUACAGGUGUGAGCUGCCACACCCAGCCUAGUCCCAGCUUCUUGCAGUGCCAUCUGCUUCUGUAGUUUCCUAGGGCUGCUGUAACAACCUAUCAAAAACUUUUGAAGGCUUACAGCAGCAGUAUUAUUUUCUCACAGUUCUAGAGGCUAGAAGUCCAAAGCCAAGGUGUUGGUAGGGCGAUGCCUCCCAAUAAGGGGAGAAUCCUUUCUUCUGCCUUCCGAUAGUUGCUGGCAGUCCUUGGCAUUUCUUGGCUUGUGGCAACAUAACUCCAGUCUUCACGUCCGUCUUCACAUGGCCAUCUUCGUUCUGUGUGUGUCUGUGUCCAAAUUUCCCUCUUAUGACAGCCACUGGAUUAGGGACCACCGUAAUUGAGUAUGAGCUUAUUUUAACUUGCUUACGUCUGCUAAGACCCUCCUUGCAAACAGGAGUAUUAUUUCUUUGUUUUUGAUCUGCAUCUCCUCUUCCCUUUGAAUGUAAGGUUAGGCAGGAGCCUUGCCAGUGUUGCUCAUCCCCUUACCCCCAGCACCGUGCUUAGCACAUGGCAAGCAGUCUGGAAAUGCCAAGUGUUAUGUGGCUAAAUGAAUGAAAGAAAUAUUUCUUGUUGGAAAUGUUAGAAGCGAAGUAAGAUUUGAGUUCUUUUGAAAAACAGCUGGCUGACAUUGUUCCUCUCACCACAACCAGCUGGAUUGUCUGUUUUUCCUGAUGUGCUGAGUGCUGAGCAGAAUUUUA
This 2669-nucleotide long non-coding RNA is filed under the name Homo sapiens (human). RNAcentral describes it as "HSALNT0290230". The record is from RNAcentral. Lineage: Eukaryota; Metazoa; Chordata; Mammalia; Primates; Hominidae.